This is a non-coding RNA of Macaca mulatta (Rhesus monkey), 1127 nucleotides long. The record is from RefSeq and is a predicted model, not a curated record. NCBI's taxonomy places the organism in Eukaryota, Metazoa, Chordata, Mammalia, Primates, Cercopithecidae.
UCUCCCGCACAUUGGGAAAAGAGUUCAUCUGUUGCCAACGGGCAAAAGACUUUCUCCACAGUCCGCCUGGUAUUUGGGCUUCCUCCUGAGCUAUUGAAAAGAAUAGCAACUGUUUUUUGUCUGCUUAUCAUGAGGCAGAGCCUGGGCUAACCAUUUAUUGAGUUUACUCAUCUCUGUAGUCUCCACAGCAGUGUAUGAGAUAGAAGAUACAAUUUUGUACAUUCCCAGUUCAAAAAAAUGAUAAAGGUGAGAGGCGACGGAUAUGCUAAUUACCCUGAUUUGAUCAUUACACGUUGUAUACAUAUAUGGAACUAUUGCGCUGUAUCCCGGAGCCUAUGGAGAAUUUUGGUGGCAGGAGCAGUGCUGAUCUGUAAGAACGGUUGAUCAUCCCAAGAAAUACUGUAUCUGGGACUCAGAAAGCGGAGCAGUUCCUAGGAAAUGAUCUCCAUACAGAAGAAACCGGGGCCCUGAAGGUUCAAGACCAAUGGAGGCAAGAUAAGUUCAGAAUCAGGGCAGAGGCAGCCUUAAUGGAGAUGGAAGGAUGAAGCUAAGAGAUGCUGUGGAGGAGGAAGGGGAUUUGGUGACUCCACAAGAAAGUUGAAAAUGAAAGAGGAAUCAAGGCUGAUUUCAAACUCCUAAGCCAUGGUGUUAAAAGAGUAAUGCGAAUGAAAUUGGGCAAACCAGGAGAUAAAUUUGUAGGAAAGGAGUGUUUUUUUAAAAAAUGUUAACAAUAAAACUGUAAGUAUUUUUUUAAAAUUCAGCAAUACAAUAUGAUAUAUAUUGAAAAGUAAAAAUCUUCUUCCUUUUCCCAUUCCCACUCCCAAAUCUUAGUGACUAUUUACUGCUUCUUGUGUAUCCUUCCUUAAAAGUUACUUUUACACAAAUAAUGAUCAUACACUACCAUUAAUAGUGUAUUUUUAAACUGGAGCUUUCCAGGUAUGCCUCAUUCUUUUUAAAAGCUGCAUAGUUUUUCACUGUACUCACUUAUCCUUAACCAAUUCGGUACUCACUUAUACUUAACCAAUUCUGUAUUGAUAAGUAUUUUGGCUGUGUUUAGUAAGAUUGUUUAUGGUGUUGUUUUUGCCACUAUUACUGCUUGCAACUACAAAAUAUUGCUGCAAUGCAAA